This 320-nucleotide long non-coding RNA is filed under the name Salmo salar (Atlantic salmon). RNAcentral describes it as "lncRNA (ENSSSAG00000086856.1, ENSSSAG00000105428.1)". Lineage: Eukaryota; Metazoa; Chordata; Actinopteri; Salmoniformes; Salmonidae. The record is from RNAcentral.
UGAUGGUUGUAGUAGUAGUAAUGAUGAUGGUAGUGAUAGCAGGUUAGUGAUGGUAGAUGUGGAAGUUGUAGUAAUGGCGAUGGUAGUGAUAGCAGUUUAGUGACGGUGGUGGUGGUAGUAGUAGUAAUGAUGAUGGUAGUGAUAGCAGUUUAGUGAUGGUGAUGGUAGUAGUAGUAAUGAUGUUGGUAGUGACAGCAGUUUAGUGAUGGUGGUGGUAGAAGUAAUAAUGAUGAUGGUAUUGAAAGCAGUUUAGUGAUGGUGGUGGUAGUAGUAGUAAUGAUGAUGGUAGUGAUAGCAGUUUAGUUAUGGUGGUGGUAGUA